AGAGUUUGAUCCUGGCUCAGAUUGAACGCUGGCGGCAUGCCUUACACAUGCAAGUCGAACGGUAACGCGGGGCAACCUGGCGACGAGUGGCGAACGGGUGAGUAAUGUAUCGGAACGUGCCCAAUAGUGGGGGAUAGCCCGGCGAAAGCCGGAUUAAUACCGCAUGAGACCUGAGGGUGAAAGCGGGGGAUUCGCAAGAACCUCGCGCUAUUGGAGCGGCCGAUAUCAGAUUAGGUAGUUGGUGGGGUAAAAGCCUACCAAGCCGACGAUCUGUAGCUGGUCUGAGAGGACGACCAGCCACACUGGGACUGUGACACGGCCCAGACUCCUACGGGAGGCAGCAGUGGGGAAUUUUGGACAAUGGGCGCAAGCCUGAUCCAGCCAUGCCGCGUGCGGGAAGAAGGCCUUCGGGUUGUAAACCGCUUUUGUCAGGGAAGAAAUCCUUUGAGUUAAUACCUCGGGGGGAUGACGGUACCUGAAGAAUAAGCACCGGCUAACUACGUGCCAGCAGCCGCGGUAAUACGUAGGGUGCGAGCGUUAAUCGGAAUUACUGGGCGUAAAGCGUGCGCAGGCGGUCUUGCAAGACAGGUGUGAAAUCCCCGGGCUUAACCUGGGAACCGCACUUGUGACUGCAAGGCUGGAGUACGGCAGAGGGGGAUGGAAUUCCGCGUGUAGCAGUGAAAUGCGUAGAUAUGCGGAGGAACACCGAUGGCGAAGGCAAUCCCCUGGGCCUGUACUGACGCUCAUGCACGAAAGCGUGGGGAGCAAACAGGAUUAGAUACCCUGGUAGUCCACGCCCUAAACGAUGUCAACUGGUUGUUGGACGGCUUGCUGUUCAGUAACGAAGCUAACGCGUGAAGUUGACCGCCUGGGGGAGUACGGCCGCAAGGUUGAAACUCAAAGGAAUUGACGGGGACCCGCACAAGCGGUGGAUGAUGUGGUUUAAUUCGAUGCAACGCGAAAAACCUUACCUACCCUUGACAUGUCUGGAAUCCUGAAGAGAUUUGGGAGUGCUCGAAAGAGAACCAGAACACAGGUGCUGCAUGGCCGUCGUCAGCUCGUGUCGUGAGAUGUUGGGUUAAGUCCCGCAACGAGCGCAACCCUUGUCAUUAGUCGCUACGAAAGGGCACUCUAAUGAGACUGCCGGUGACAAACCGGAGGAAGGUGGGGAUGACGUCAGGUCCUCAUGGCCCUUAUGGGUAGGGCUACACACGUCAUACAAUGGCCGGUACAGAGGGCUGCCAACCCGCGAGGGGGAGCCAAUCCCAGAAAACCGGUCGUAGUCCGGAUCGUAGUCUGCAACUCGACUGCGUGAAGUCGGAAUCGCUAGUAAUCGCGGAUCAGCUUGCCGCGGUAAAUACGUUCCCGGGUCUUGUACACACCGCCCGUCACACCAUGGGAGCGGGUUCUGCCAGAAGUAGUUAGCCUAACCGCAAGGAGGGCGAUUACCACGGCAGGGUUCGUGACUGGGGUGAAGUCGAACAAGGUA
RNAcentral lists this ribosomal RNA (1489 nucleotides) under metagenome. RNAcentral describes it as "bacterial SSU rRNA". It matches the Rfam family "Bacterial small subunit ribosomal RNA". The record is from RNAcentral.